Molecule: RNA transcript, 1693 nt
Organism: Cavia porcellus (domestic guinea pig)
Lineage: Eukaryota; Metazoa; Chordata; Mammalia; Rodentia; Caviidae
Gene: Ostf1
Gene name: osteoclast stimulating factor 1
Exons: 11
Source: RefSeq, a predicted model, not a curated record
GGCGCUGCCAAGAGUGGGCAGGUCCCGGAGCGCAGCGCGGUGCUAGCCUGACAGCAGUAGACGCGGGCGGCCUGGUGCCGGCCGACGGGGUGUCCGGUGGACUUUACACGCGCGGUCGGCCAAGCUUCGCGUUCCAGGAAGCGAGAUGUCGAAGCCGCCUCCCAAACCGGUCAAACCAGGGCAAGUUAAAGUCUUCAGAGCUCUUUAUACCUUUGAACCCAGAACUCCAGAUGAACUGUACUUCGAGGAGGGUGAUGUUAUCUACAUUACUGACAUGAGCGAUAGCAAUUGGUGGAAAGGAACCUCCAAAGGCAGGACGGGACUAAUCCCAAGCAACUACGUGGCCGAGCAGGCAGAAUCUAUUGACAAUCCGUUGCACGAAGCUGCCAAAAGAGGCAACCUGAGCUGGCUGAGGGAGUGUCUGGACAAUCGUGUGGGUGUGAACGGCCUGGACAAAGCCGGAAGCACUGCCUUGUACUGGGCGUGUCAUGGGGGUCACAAAGAUAUAGUGGAAGUGCUGUUUACUCAGCCAAAUAUUGAACUGAACCAACAGAACAAGUUGGGGGACACAGCUCUGCAUGCUGCUGCCUGGAAGGGCUACGCAGAUAUUGUCCAGUUGCUUUUGGAAAAAGGUGCUAGAACGGACUUGCUGAACAACGAAAAGAAGCUGGCCUUGGACAUGGCCACCAAUGCUGCCUGCGCAUCGCUUCUGAAAAAGAAGCAGGGAACAGGGGCACCCUGAAUCCGAUGACCAGUGGAGGCAGAGGAGAGGAUGAUGCACGGAGAUGUGAGAUGGAGGCAGAUUGGGACGAUGGAAGGUGGAUAGUUCAAAACCACCAGAAGCAGAAGAGAAGGAGGUGUGGAAGAAUGCAAAAGGGCUGUCUGCACACUGGGGAGCGAAACAAUCCAGUUGCAAAGGUGGAGAACGUGGAGCUCACUGCAGAGUCCGGUUGGGAACCCGUCUAUUUUGGAAGCCACAGAGUCUGCGCUGGAAACCAGGAGAUAAAGUCCAAGGUGCAGACUUGAGCUCCUCCGAACAAAGCCUUCCUUCUUCAUUCCCCUUUAAUCCAUUCAGGCUACAAAUUUAUUGGUUGGUGCCACCCACACCCAGGCUGGGUCUUCUGUCUUCAGUAAAUCCCUUCUGUCACACCCUGAGCAACACAAAUCCAAUCAGUUGGGUGUUUCUUAUACAAGUUGAGACAACAGUUAACUACAAAACAGGUCCAUGCUUUUCAACUGGAAUAAACCGUGAUUCUCUGAAAAAGACUUAAGAUUUUGAUUCUUGACUUGCAGUAGGACCUAAAAAUCAUAUUUUAAAAACUCCCCAGAUGAUCCCAAUUUAUAGCUGAAAAAGAACUACUACUUUAGAUUUUCCAUUUCUUUAAAAUCUCUCCAAAUUAGCCUAUGAUAUACAAAAGGACAUUUCCUUGAGACCAUAAGACCAUUGUGGUGAGCCUCUCUGGUGUAUGUGGCACAAAGGGAGGCUCAUUAUUGCUGAAGACUAUGAGGCUCGCCAUCACUGCAAUACAGCAAUGGCACUGAAUCACUCAUAACAAGUUCUUACCAAUUUGUAAGAAAUUAGGAAGAAGCUCAGCGGCAUAAGCGCCUGCCUUGCAAGCAGGCAGUCGUGAGUUCGAUCCCCGGUACCGAUAAAAAGGAAAAAGACAAAAAAAAAAAAAAAAAAAAAAAGAAA